RNAcentral lists this long non-coding RNA (829 nucleotides) under Eucalyptus grandis. RNAcentral describes it as "long non-coding RNA (EGRA_LNC003989)". Lineage: Eukaryota; Viridiplantae; Streptophyta; Magnoliopsida; Myrtales; Myrtaceae. The record is from RNAcentral.
AAACACAUACCUUCUCAUUCUCAGCUCCGCCUUCGCUCACGACUGCCAGUUUGGCCUCUUCUCUGAUCGACGCGCCUCCGCCUCACCGUCGCCAUCGCUACCCCUUGUCUCAACACCGGAACCCUAGUUGCCGCCAAAUCAGUGAAUCAUUGCCGUUCAUGUCUCCAUCUCUUGUCUCAACGCCGGAACCCUAGCUGCCGCCGAAUUAGUCAAACAUUGUUCAUUUUUAGUACGCAAAGAGGCUCAAUUUAGGUCUGCAUGUGGCCGACCAUCGUCGACGACUCGGGGACUGGGUUCGCUCGGUGAGUCUCUAUAAACUCGAUCGCUAGUGAAUGUUUCUAAUUUUUCUUCCUCAAUGAUGACGGCAUUAUUAGAGUUGUUUGUUGCUAGUGCUUGUUGAUUGUCUUGUUCUUACUCUGUUUAGAUUUCCGGUUGCAAUCUUCUUGGGAGUUUCUAGGUUUUUUUUUUUUUUUUUUUUCCCGGGGGGGGGGGGGGGGGGGGGGGGGGGGAGGGGGGUCUGUUUGAAUUUGUCUUGUUGAGCUGCACAACGAUGGAGUUGCUGGUGUUGUGGUAGAUCAUCAUCCAAAAGAAAACUAGUGCCAGAACUAAGAAGGGCUAGAAUCUCGCCAAUUAUCUCUCUGCUGUGUAAAGUUUCACGUGAUUUUCUUGUAUUAAGGAAAUUGCUUGUCUUGAAUUUUUAGAUUCUUGUAUUAAGGAAAUUGCUUGUAUGAUGCAUUUAGUUGUCUAUGAAAUUCUUUGGGUUCAGGUUAAAAGUUAAGUUGAAGCAGCUAGCUGAGCAGUAUGUGCUUUCUAAACAACAUCAUGAACA